GAGCACAUGCCGAGGAUUCCCAUAACUUGACAGACCCACCUGUAAUACAUAUUGGAACAGAGAGAGAGAGAGAACGCACACAGAAAAUAAGUGUCUACUAAUCACACAAGACCAAGGUGACACUGGAAAGUCUCAGCUAGUGACUUUCACAGUUUAGACCCAUUUUUGUCCUGCUCUGCUUUAAGGUAAUGUUUAUUAUUUCCAUUAUUUAGAAAAGGGCCCCAGCAGGAGCUUUGCCACAACACAAUAUAUGUUAUGCCUCCCCUACACCAAGUGAAUGCUAGAUGGUGCCACUACUGACAGCAGUAAAUCCCAGAUUACCUUCACUAGUACCUGACUCCAGCAUAGCAGUCCUAGGCCUCUGAUGACACCCAUCAGGCCAAGUUUCCAUAUGCUUGUUGACUAGUUGAUUUGGAAAUUAUCAAACAUUUUAAUGGACUGGACCUAUGUCCACCUACCCCAACUCUUUGUAUGGGGCAGACCCUGGUUUGGAUUUUGCAAAACCACAGCAGAUCAGAUAUGGUUUUAGAGAAACAUCAGAAGUUUGGGGGAGGCAGGGAACAGAAAGUAAUUUUGAAAAUGAUCACCUCUGGUAUGGGGUGGGCCCAUACUCCCUACCCCCACCCCCACCACUGGGCACAAAGCAUGUGAAAUGGGAUUUUCAAAGAAGCCUAAAUGAGAUAGGCACUUAACUUCCAUCAGUCUGUUGAAAAAUCCCAGCUGUUAGAAAGAAAAGAUUUUGUAUUUUCUGAAGUGUUUAGAAAGAAAAAAUAAACUAAUUUUAAAGUGUCA
This is a non-coding RNA of Caretta caretta (loggerhead turtle), 792 nucleotides long. NCBI's taxonomy places the organism in Eukaryota, Metazoa, Chordata, Testudines, Cheloniidae. The record is from RefSeq and is a predicted model, not a curated record.